GACGAACGCUGGCGGCGUGCCUAAUACAUGCAAGUUGAGCGCUGAAGGUUGGUACUUGUACCAACUGGAUGAGCAGCGAACGGGUGAGUAACGCGUGGGGCAUCUGCCUUUGAGCGGGGGACAACAUUUGGAAACGAAUGCUAAUACCGCAUAAAAACUUUAAACACAAGUUUUAAGUUUGAAAGAUGCAAUUGCAUCACUCAAAGAUGAUCCCGCGUUGUAUUAGCUAGUUGGUGAGGUAAAGGCUCACCAAGGCGAUGAUACAUAGCCGACCUGGGAGGGUGAUCGGCCACAUUGGGACUGAGACACGGCCCAAACUCCUACGGGAGGCAGCAGUAGGGAAUCUUCGGCAAUGGACGAAAGUCUGACCGAGCAACGCCGCGUGAGUGAAGAAGGUUUUCGGAUCGUAAAGCUCUGUUGGUAGAGAAGAACGUUGGUGAGAGUGGAAAGCUCAUCAAGUGACGGUAACUACACAGAAAGGGACGGCUAACUACGUG
This 497-nucleotide ribosomal RNA is filed under the name uncultured bacterium. Its description in RNAcentral is "partial 16S ribosomal RNA". It matches the Rfam family "Bacterial small subunit ribosomal RNA", at positions 28 to 507 of the family's 1533-position model. The record is from RNAcentral.